AACGAACGCUAUCGGUAUGCUUAACACAUGCAAGUCGGACGAACUAAUUAGGGCUUGCUCCAAUUAGUUAGUGGCAGACGGGUGAGUAACACGCGGGAAUCUGCCCAUCAGUACGGAAUAACUUUUAGAAAUAAAAGCUAAUACCGUAUAUUCUCUACAGAGGAAAGAUUUAUCGCUGAUGGAUGAGCCCGCGUCAGAUUAGGUAGUUGGUGAGGUAACGGCUCACCAAGCCGACGAUCUGUAGCUGGUCUGAGAGGAUGAUCAGCCACACUGGGACUGAGACACGGCCCAGACUCCUACGGGAGGCAGCAGUGGGGAAUAUUGGACAAUGGGCGAAAGCCUGAUCCAGCAAUACCGAGUGAGUGAUAAAGGCCCUAGGGUUGUAAAGCUCUUUUAGCAAGGAAGAUAAUGACGUUACUUGCAGAAAAAGCCCCGGCUAACUCCGUG
RNAcentral lists this ribosomal RNA (447 nucleotides) under uncultured bacterium. Its description in RNAcentral is "partial 16S ribosomal RNA". It matches the Rfam family "Bacterial small subunit ribosomal RNA", at positions 29 to 507 of the family's 1533-position model. The record is from RNAcentral.